Molecule: long non-coding RNA, 323 nt
Filed under: Dermacentor andersoni
Lineage: Eukaryota; Metazoa; Arthropoda; Arachnida; Ixodida; Ixodidae
Description: uncharacterized LOC126528231
Source: RNAcentral
AGUGCCAUCGCCCAUUUACAACACAGUCAAUCAAUGUCAUUUUGUAUGUCACUGGGAAACCACCGAACGCAGGGAACUCACUCGCAUGCGGGAAACUGCAUAACUAGCCACUGGAUUAGCGUGCCUCUUGGGAAGCUGCUUUGCAUCAAAGGCCAGACUGAACAUCCCACGUCUUGGUUUGACUUCCUGGUACAAGAUACUUGCACUUAGCAUGGAGUGAUGAAGCAGAGCAGUGUACUUUUAUUAAAUGUGCAGAUUUUAGCAGUAUAACAGCCGUUCAUUAAAAAAACAUGUGUGCUGAAAAUAAAGUGUUCUUACCCACA